UCUCUUGCCUCCCUUACAGAGCACAAAAGCAGGAUUGAAGUGUCAACAUUUGUUUUCAAUUAACUUGUGGAAACACACGCAGCGCUAUUGUUAAAGCCAGAGACUUCCUGCUGGAAGCUGCCAUUUCAGAAACUAAUUACUCUGCAAGGCAAAAGGCUGUUGUUGAGGGGGAAAAAAAACCAAACCCAUGUCGUUUUUUGUUUUAAACUCUCCUUUUAGAUAAAGGCAGUGAUAAGAUUUAAAGUUGGGGAGAGAGAGAGAGCUGAAAGAUAUAUCUACUGCAGGAGACCUGCAGACUUACAGCAAGGUUUUGUGUGCCCAGGGUACAGUGGGAUUUCGGCACGUGUGACUCAGUGAUGGGGUCUACAGCAGGAAUGAGGGCAUCCAUGUUCAGAUUUGCCUGAGGCAGAGACCUGAUACAGUGGUCACAGCCUGUGGACCCUCUCCCCUGGGUCUUCCCCUUAUCCAGGCAGGGCCACCGCUGCCUGGCUCAGCAUUCCUGAUCUUGGGACACCAGAAAGGUUCAGGUGGAACUUAACAGGAUGAGCCCAAAAGCCCAGGAAGCCCUGACCUGACUUAACACUUGUCGCUUUCCUCUGCCGUAGGUUUCUUCUGCGUGUUGCUGGCUGCUCAGCACCACGAAGGAGCUGGGGGAGAUGCGGGUCAGCCUCUGAGCGGUGGGGGUUUUGGCCAGCCCCCCCAGCGCCAGGGCAGGAAUGCAUGCGAGGAGGCUGAGGGGCCCGUUUCUCCCCCACCGUGCAAGCCCUGUUUGCCAUGAGAGGGGCUGGGUGUUUCACAACUGCUGCUCAGUGUUUGCUCCCAAAGCAAAGGUCUCAAACUCCUGCGGCCAUCCCAGGAAAUUAAGCAAAGGGCAUUCAAUGUGCCCCCGUAUCAAAGGAAAUCCCACUCUCAGUUAAGUCUCUUGACUGCACUUUGUGGACCUAUGUUCUAAGGCAGAGCCCCCCCCGUUUCUCCUGUCUCCGUCCAGAAAUGAGGAGUUACUUCAGUACGUUGGCUGCAGGCCCGAGGUAGGAUAUUGACUUUGGCUCCCUUUGGAUCUCGUGUGCGCUGAUGGUCAAGCACCCUGAGGAACAUGUACUCUGCCCUGCUGAAGACCAUGGCACCUUCCCUUCCAGCCCAGCAUGCACAGAGAAGACUGUGUGGGGCCAGAUGCAAAGGCUGGCCUGGUACUAUGUGUUGUAGAAAAAGACUGGGUAGUACAAAACUGGUUCUUAAUAAUAAAAAUUCCCAGUAAGGGAGAUCA
RNAcentral lists this long non-coding RNA (1264 nucleotides) under Calidris pugnax (ruff). RNAcentral describes it as "lncRNA (ENSCPUG00000009315.1)". The record is from RNAcentral. Lineage: Eukaryota; Metazoa; Chordata; Aves; Charadriiformes; Scolopacidae.